Molecule: non-coding RNA, 237 nt
Organism: Pelobates cultripes (western spadefoot toad)
Lineage: Eukaryota; Metazoa; Chordata; Amphibia; Anura; Pelobatidae
Source: the annotation of a GenBank genome assembly
AUUCUUACAAGAAACUCACUGGAGACAAGCGGAUAAACAAAAUUGGGGGGGUAAAAGAUUUCCACUUAUAAUUCAAGCUUCCAAUAAGGAAAAAAAAAAAUGUGGAGUAGCUGUGGUAUUUGGAGAAAAGAUUAAAGUUGAAGUAAUUCAUCAAAUACAAGAUACUAAAGGCAGGUAUUUAAUAAUAAUAUGUAAAAUUGACUCUGUACUUUUUACAUUAUGUAAUAUAUAUCUUCC